This 253-nucleotide ribosomal RNA is filed under the name uncultured bacterium. RNAcentral's name for it is "partial 16S ribosomal RNA". It matches the Rfam family "Bacterial small subunit ribosomal RNA", at positions 524 to 776 of the family's 1533-position model. The record is from RNAcentral.
UACGUAGGGGGCUAGCGUUGUCUGGAAUCAUUGGGCGUAAAGCGCGCGUAGGUGGCCACAUAAGUCCGUUGUGAAAGUCAAAGGCUCAACCUUUGAAAGCCGAUGGAUACUGUGUGGCUAGAGUACGGAAGAGGCGAGUGGAAUUCCUGGUGUAGCGGUGGAAUGCGCAGAUAUCAGGAGGAACACCAAUAGCGAAGGCAGCUCGCUGGGACGUUACUGACACUGAGGCGCGAAAGCGUGGGGAGCGAACAGG